GCAUGGGGUCCCCUCGUUAGGCCGCACUCGUUUUCCUGCCCGGCAGAAGCCAUUAUGCCGCGCGGCGAAAUGCGGGAACAGUGCACGCAUCAUUCCAGCCUCGCCGACUCUCCAGCUUGAGCAUACAUGCACCAGCUAAAUUUUAGGCCUAGAUUAGUCGUGCUGAGCCGAAGUUAUCGCCUUUGGCGAAGUCGACAUGUUAAUCAGACUGGAAUUUAACGAUGGCGUCGGGACGCGAAUACGCUUUUAGACUGAUGUCCACGUAAAAGGACACAUUUUCCAUACUUCUUUCCAUGAACUUGGUUUACACUGCAGACCGGACCAAGAGGGCAGCA
Molecule: long non-coding RNA, 335 nt
Organism: Rhipicephalus sanguineus (brown dog tick)
Lineage: Eukaryota; Metazoa; Arthropoda; Arachnida; Ixodida; Ixodidae
Exons: 3
Source: RefSeq, a predicted model, not a curated record